GUGGGGAAUAUUGGACAAUGGGCGAAAGCCUGAUCCAGCCAUGCCGCGUGUGUGAAGAAGGUCUUCGGAUUGUAAAGCACUUUAAGUUGGGAGGAAGGGCAGUAAGUUAAUACCUUGCUGUUUUGACGUUACCGACAGAAUAAGCACCGGCUAACUUCGUGCCAGCAGCCGCGGUAAUACGAAGGGUGCAAGCGUUAAUCGGAAUUACUGGGCGUAAAGCGCGCGUAGGUGGUUUUGUAAGUUGGAGGUGAAAUCCCCGGGCUCAACCUGGGAACUGCCUCCAAAACUGCAUGACUAGAGUACGGUAGAGGGUAGUGGAAUUUCCUGUGUAGCGGUGAAAUGCGUAGAUAUAGGAAGGAACACCAGUGGUGAAGGCGACUACCUGGACUGAUACUGACACUGAGGUGCGAAAGCGUGGGGAGCAAACAGGAUUAGAAACCCCUGUAGUCC
RNAcentral lists this ribosomal RNA (450 nucleotides) under uncultured bacterium. Its description in RNAcentral is "partial 16S ribosomal RNA". It matches the Rfam family "Bacterial small subunit ribosomal RNA", at positions 354 to 796 of the family's 1533-position model. The record is from RNAcentral.